AGCUUCAAUAUUCUCUCUCUUAAUUUAAUCUCACUUUUUUCUGUCCGUCAUCUUAUUAAGAUUGUUUUGUUCUGAUGAUUAUUUGGCAGACCUGGGUCACUUAUGUUAAUUGAUUUUUUUUCUUGUAUUAAAGCUUUGAAUGUUAGGCUCUUUGACAUUGCACAUAUGAUAAAAAAAGUAUUACAUAAUGACUUGGAUAUAAAAUGAUUUCCAUUCCAGUUUUGACAUGGGCCUGUUAAACUAUGUCGUCUUGGAAAAAACAAAAAGUUCUUUUACUUGAAAGUUGUCUAUUUUGUUCUGCUGUGCAAAAUAUUUGAUUCUGGGUAAUUUCUGUCCCGACAAAAAGAUAGCAACAUGGGAACAGUCCAAAUUCCUCGUCCCUUCGGCUUGGCUCUGCUUCCUGUUGGAGUGAAUCUGUGAAGAAAAGGCUAACCCUUUUCUUUAGGGUAUUGAGGAUCAUUUUUGAGAGAUUAAGGAAUACAUGCAAACCAAAUACAAUUAAUGAAUAAGACCAACAAAUACCGGCAAUGUUUCAGGGAAAAAGUCCAAAACCAAUUUUCUAAACCAAAUUCAGGGGAAGGGCAAUAGAUGGAGUUGCUCUGGAAGAAGACUUUUUAGGCCAUAGUCAGUGGGCUUUGGGGUUUUAUCACCAGAGAAAUUGUGAUAUAUAUAAAUAUAUAUAUAUAUGUAUUGUAUAUAUCUGAUGAUUUAAUGAAGAUAAUUAUGCAGUGGGGGGAGGGGAUUUUAUUCUCAUAAAGCCAUUUUUUUAUUCUUGCUUCAUUCGUGAUAGAGUUUUAACACUCCUUGACAUUCUGAGAAAUGCACACAUUUUUGUAUUAGCAGAGUCAUAACUGUGCAGAAUUACACAACAAAAAAAAUGACAUCUGAUCGAGGAACCUGGUAUUUAUGGUAAAAUACUGUAAAAUAAAUUUCUCCCUGACAAAGGAUUUUAACCUUAAAGAACCAGUAUUAUUUUUAUUUGACAAACCAUUACAUGUUUUUUCCUCUCCAACAGAAAAAUGCUUUUUUUUCCUAAAGAAUGUCACAGCGCUAGUUAUAUUAUGUACGUUUCUGAAGCACAUAACUGGAAAUCUGUAUCAAGGCAUACUGUAAGUAGGAUUUGCACAUACAAAGUCUAUAAAGUCUAUAAAUACAGACACACAGAAAACUGCCUAAAUUAUGAUAACAUGAUACAAAUAAGAGUAUGAUCACAUAGUUUGUAAACAUAAAUGGAUAGUAAGGUCACACUUUUAAAAGAGGGCCAAAACUCAACACAAAAGAGCACAAGUUACUGCUAAAAUGAUAUCAUAGAAAAUUAGAGUUUUGAAAAUGUGUGGAAAGAGUUUUUACCAAUCUGCAACAUCAUCAAUGAAAUUUCACAGUGUUUAAUUUCAAAACAAGAUUUUGGUUUUCAAAUAUAGUAUCCCAACAUUCAAUCAUAUUUGACCAAUAAAAUAUGGCAGCUUGGAAACCGUUCAAUCUAGUUCUAAUACUUUUUGCCAAGAUAAUCAAAAAAGUUUUAGAUUUUGUUUUAUUUGGCAUUUUCAACUUCACACAAUGUGAAUUUGUUGUACACGUCAAUUAAUGUGAAAGAUAUAACAAUAUUUGGCAAAGCAGUCAAUGUUGGUGGCUUAUGGCAAAACCAUCCAGAACACUUCAGAUCUCUAAAGUUCACAGGGUUGGGCCUGCUAGUACUUCGAUGGGAAUUUUGCAAAUUUUGGAAAUGAUUAUUUUUCAAACAGCCGCUGCUUUUAAAUAAACUUUCUUCUGAGAGCAAUUCAUCAAGAAAAAAUCUGUAGCCUCCUUGUGCCAAAGUGACAGUAAAACCAGACAAAGGAACCAUUAUCAGGAAGACUGGCUGGCUGGCUGGAGAAUUACUGCUGCUGUUAACCCAAAAUCACACUUAACAGUCAAAGCACUCAACAUAAUUACAUAUGCCAGAAACACAAUAUCAACUAACUUGUAUGUGCAUAACUGCAAAGAUAAGGAGUUGUUUUUUUUCCAGUUUAGACAUAGUUUGAAUUUUGUCCAAGUACCCAGAAAAGAAAGCAAAGAUGUAAGAUAAUAGUAUUGGAUCUUUAUGAACUUGGUGCUACUGUGGUUUGAAUUAAAAACACCAUUAUCAAAGACCUACAGCUAACAUUACAUUUUUGAUCAUCCUCAGUAUGUGAAUCAGUGUAUGGUUGAAAAUAUACACCCCUACUUUUGUAAAUCCUUUUAUUUGCCUAUUGAAGAGGGAUGGGUGGGUUUUGUUUUUAAGCAGUGAUUUUAAAAAGACUUGAUGCUAUGCUUUAAGUUGGUGUACAUUUGUUUGUGCUUUACAAAGGUAGCUGUAAGAUGCUUUUAAUGGCCAUGGACUCUUUGAUAGACUGACUGUCAGUGCAGUAUUUUUGCAGUUUAAGCCAUGUCAUGAUGCUGUGGCAUGGUGGCACUUAUGAUGUCACACUAUGUCACUAGGAUGUUGUAAGAUCACAGUGACAAUUAUAAUGAAUGCUGUUAGAUGUAGUUAUGCAGACAUUUUUUGUGAAUUUAAUCAAUAAAGAUUAUUAAAUGUUCUCAGCUUUCAUUGUUUUUCCUUUGUUUUAUUUUUAUAAAUACAAAUGUGUGUAGGUUUAUAUUGCACAGUAUAUGUUGUUGGACGGUCUAUAUACACCUUUAAAGGCCCAAUAUUAUGCAAAAUUCACUUUAGAAUGGUUUUCUAACACUAAUAUGCAUCCCCAGUCUGUCUACAAACCCCCCUCUCCCUCUCUUGCUUGUUCCACCUUUAAGAAAAUAUUUGCUCAAAGGGGCGGAUUCAAACCAUCACCCUCCAUGAUGUCAUGGACGGCGAUAACUCCUCCCCUUUCAGGACCCUGCCCAAGAUGUUUGUUCUGCCCUCUGAAAAUUUCCACUCAGACACUAUUUUUCUCCCUCACAAACGCUGGUUCAAAAUGGGGAGGGUAUGAGCAAGGCAAGGCAGUUGCUUUGUUGUUGGCUGCACGAAGCAGCACAGAAGUCUGUUUCCAUAGACUGCAAGAACAUCGUCACGAGAUAAGGUCAAGAGAUAACUAGAAAAAUUGCAUUUCCUUGCAGAAAAUGCGUGGAAAUGCUGUGUGCUGAAAGCUAAAAAAAAGCAAUGCAAAAGUUGCAAAAUUGUUGCAAUACAAAUACUAUGAAUGUGCUUCAACAAUUAAAAUUGCAUUCAUGCUGAAUAAGGCUAGAAAAACUGUCUUAAAUUGCAAAAAAAAUGGAUAAGGAAGAAAACUACCUUAAAACAGAAAAGUGAGAAGUGGCAUAAGUUUAAGUUGAAGUACUAGAAGUAGUUUGAUAAUAGGUAGUUGUAGUAGUGAUAUUAGUAGUCAUGUAAGCAGUAGAAGUAGUUUUAGAAUAGAAGAAUUAGAAGUCAAAGCAGUAGAGCUCGUGGUAUAAGUGAGAGUAGAAGUUAAAAAAAAUAUUAAGAGAAGCAAGAGCAGUGGAGGUAGAAGUGAAGAUACAAGUUAAAGUGAUAUAAGUAGUAAUUGGGUGCGCGCACAGGCUCCUCUUCCUCCUUAACUUGAUUAUGCAUGAAUAAUGAGAGUAAUUUUAAAGUGGGGGAAAUUAAAUGAAUAAAAAUCCUGAGUACACCCCAUAAUGUCCUCAAUGAACCGAAUUUUUGGAGCCCUGAAUGGUUUCUGUAGCUCAAAGUUUGUGGGAGGAGAUAGGGGCUGAAUAUUUUCAGGCGCUCUGGUGAAGGGCUUAAAUGUAACACUCAGUGCUCUGUGUACUAAGCCUGGUUUCAUGUGUCUCAUAUGGCCGUUAGAAGCAGCUUUCCAGUCAGCUGUGUGUCUCCAGGUGCACUAAUUGGUUGCCAUGGCGAAGGAAGAUGUAACACUACAACAGGAGAGAGGAGGCUUGAAGCUGAGGAAAUGACUCUCCAGCUAGGCCCUGAUGGUCAACCUCUGUAUAUAUUCAUGAUAAGGAGCUUGUGAGAACCCCACGACUCUGCUGAACAUAUUGAUACAAUUAAUUAACAAAAUCCUAAAUACACCCCAUAAUGUCCUCAAUGAGCUGAAUUUUUGAAGCCCAGAAUGGUUUCUGUGAGUGGAGAUAGGUGGUGAUGCAGACAUAUAUUAACUGUGUGUACAUGCAGGUCUUUUAGACAGAGACACACGCACACACAUUGUCAGACUGUGUGUGUGUGUGUCUCGUUAAUGAUUUUAUCCUAAACAGCUGUGAGAUCAAAGGCAUUAACUGGCCAACUGUUUGAAUGAGAAGCAGCUGAACUGCAGUGAAUUUAGGGCCUCUGAACUUCUUCACAUAGCGUGAUUUCCUUAAAUCCCAGAAUGAAAAUAAGAACAUUGUGCGAAUCCUCCGCCCUUCAUGAACACAAUGAUGUGUUUUUCAUGUCUGUACUCCAAAAAAUGUGGCCACAACAGCGAGUUAAAAAAGUCUUAGCCUGAGUGACGAUAAGGAUUUUCUUGGAGAAAAAAUACAUUAGGGCUAAUGGGGAGAGAUUUCCGCCUAUUUGGACAGUUGGUCACCUGCUGGCCAAGGGGUACGAUUUAAUGAUUUGAAACCUCUUUGUGAGAAGCAGGACACAUAUACCUCCUCUUCGGCCAAUCAGCACCUACGUUUGUACACUUGCGUUGAUGCGGGACCAUGGAGGUGGCCGGGACAAAUAUGGUAACGUUACUUUGGCAAUUUACCAUAUAUAUUUUAACGACUUUUUAACUUUUGUUUAACACUUGUUGAUGUUAUGGCUAUUUUGUGGAAACGUUUUGUCAGAGAGCGUAAACAAAUCAUGUUAACAAUUACAUUAGAUGACAAGCACGUUAGCAUUGUUUCAGCUGAGUGUUGUCGCUAUGCAUGCAGAUGGGGUGAUCAUUUGACUAAACUUAAUGCUUCUGAAACUGUUCAGUUAGCUUUUGAUUAAAAUCAAACUUUGCAUAUAUCCCUGGUAUGCUAACUAAGAAGUUGGGACUCUAGUCAUGCUAAUGCAGAGGUUAGGUACCACUUUUAGAAAUAUUAGUUGUAAUGAGUUAUUCAAAUUCAAAUAUAAAUUAUUUGAAUUCAUUUUUGGUGCCACAUAUUUUAGCCCAUACAUAAUAUUUGUAACUAACCAUUCUGAAACGUCCUGCUGCAGACAGAGUUGGAAUUUCUUCAGGAGCCUUUCCUCCUGGGUCAGACUUUGAAUCAAACUUGUACAGCAAGCACUAGCACUCUGUGUAAACAUUAGGGCAUGAUACUAUAGUGCAAGCCAUGCCCCCCCUCUUCCAGAGAGACUCGGAGGGGCGCGGCCCAUGCUGAAGGAGGCGUGGACAGGCGCAGCACACAGAAACGGCGUGUUCUCAGUAGAGCUCACUAGAGAGAGUUUUCAGGCUGGCUGAAAUCCAGGGGGAAAAAAGGGGUUUUUAGACUACAAACUUCAAAUUGACUUUUCUGGGACCUCAGAGACCUAUGUGAACCUGCUGAAAAGGAGUAUGAUAUGGGACCUUUAAAUGACUGAUAAGUUGUGUAAAACUUUAAAUCUGUUUUUUUUCUUUUAAACUGCAACAGCUUGAGCUGAUUUGUCUUCAUGGUGAAUAUUGCCGAAGGGUCACAGUCCAGAAAUCAGUAGGCUCUAAAGCAGCCCGUCACUGUGGCUUAGCAUCAAGAAAUCUAGGAGAGUGAAUAUUUCACAAGCCCAUACAAGUCUGCACAAGGUAUUCAUGAGUCUGCCUCCAGUGAAGAGACAAGAGACUGAGUGAAUAAGGGUGUAAAUGAAGAAGGAGAGAAGCUGGAAAGGCAAUGUUGGCAUGCAUUCAAGUUUAUCUAACUGCACUAUUUAAUGACUUUGACUUUGCCAACAACUUAUGUAAUUCAUCAAAAUUCAUCAUGUACUUUUUGCAGAUGAUAAAACUGGGAUAAAAUAAAGAGCUACACUUAUGAGCCAAUUUUCUAAGGAAAUAAAUAAAGUAAAACAAUCAUUCAACACAGAAAAAAAACUCUUUAAAUAUCAGUAAAACAAAGUAUAUCAUUUUUGGGAAUAAACGUAAUAAUAUGCAAACUAGGUUAUCAUUCCAUGGUACAGACUCUGAAGUUGCGGAGGAAAUCAAAUUUCUUGGAGUCACAAUAAACCAUGUGCUCUCAAGGAUCUCACUGUAGAGACAACUUUGCUGUCUAAUUUUGCCCAAUCUUAGUUAUUGUGCCGAGUUAUGGGAGGAAACUCGUGACAUAAAUUAAAAAUCUCAAGAGGUAACACCAACAAUUCCCGAAAUUGCAUUUGCUUAAACUUCAGGAUUUUAUUGCAUUUAAACUUUCAUGCAUCAUGUAUAUUUGGGAGUGUUACCAUUGAAAAUUUGAAAAUAAAAUAUACAUUUUUUUUUUUAAAGUUAAAUACUCUCAUACGCCACUGAAAUAGAAGUGUGUUUCAAUUUAUGGUGUGAUAUCGUGGAUUUUACUUGAGGACUGUCGCAAAAAUGCUGAACAAACAAGUGGCAAGUAAGGAAACAGAGGAGCAAAGUCCUGAUUGAUUGGACCAAAUUUUGGUAUUAAUCCCUGGUAACUUUUUUAUGUUUUGUGUUUUGUUUAUUUCACACUUACAUAUUAAUACUGUGUUCAAACACUUUUAACUUUUUUUUUUUUUUUUUUUUUUUGCACAGAGGACCUAAAGAAAUCAACCAACUGCCCAACUCAGUGAUAGAGACUGUGAUAGAGGGCAGGUAUGUUAGAUUUUUUUCUUCCUUUUUUUGCUUGGACAGGGGAUGAAAGACAAAGGUUUGCACUGUAAAUUUGUAACCACAUUUGUGUACUCUCACCGAACUAAAUAAAAAUGAAUGAAUGAAUAAUGUGCCAGGACUGGAGCAGGUGUCUGUGGUGAGACGCCUCUUCUUCCUGUUUUUAUUUUGGUUUAACUUCCUGUUUUCCUUGUGUUCCUGGUCUGGCUUGACUGUUGUUUCAGAGCACUUUCCCUUCCCCCGGCUGAGGCUGAGAGAGACUCCACAGCAGCCCUCAGUCUCAGCACCGGAGUAUUGUCUUCACUCCUCAGUGGUACAGACGCCUCUCCUGGCCUUCUCCUUGGCUAAGUGCUAGUAAUUUUUGCUCCCUUAGAUUCCUUGUAUGCCUUCUCACUUCCAACUCCUCUGUUUUCUCCACAGUGUCUCCAGCCCACACAACAGCCAGCCAGCCAACCGGACUUUCUCAUGCCUUUUUCCUUGAGUUGGACAUGAAAAUUGCAUCUUUAGUUUAGUAUCUGUCUCCGUGUCUGCUUCGGGGUCCACAAAAUACACCACACGCCACAGUGUCAACAUGAAAUGCUAUUAAAUGCACCUUCUGAAAUGCUUCCUCUUUUGAGUCCCCUGAAACUUUCAGAGUGCGGUGGUGUCUGUGGACAUGGAGGCAGAUAUAUCUCUUUGCUAGACUUUCUCAACAUACAUGGUGCAUUUUGCAUACCCAAAUGUUAAUGAGGUGUAAUUCCUUCAACAGAAACCAUUCCUUAAACCAUUCCUCUACUUUCCUGUUGUUCAUCUUACCCAGUUUGGCUAGCAAAGGAGCUGUGCUAAUAACGGUCUAAGGCCCAUAUGGCUCACAUGCUCACAGUGAGCCCAUGUUUCUGUACAGGAAUCAAGUCAUAGCUGUAAAAUGUACAACUGACAGGUCAUGUAACAUUGAAGGCAGUAUGUUUCAAUACAUACUGUGGGGACACAGAAAGCCUGCAGCGUGAGUGGCUCAAGCGAACAGGGAGACCUGAAUUAUUAUCCGGUCUGCCUCCAAUAGUAGCAUUGAGAAAAUGGAAAAUACUGCACUCUGCUGUUGCACUGCAACAUUGUCAGUAAAUAAUCACCAUAAUCUGUUAAAAACAUAAAAGUAGUCUCAAGGACUUCGAUUGGUUUCUAAAUCAGACUCCUGAAGCCUCUUGGUGGUGCUCAGUCUGUUGAAUUGCUAACAAGCUAACACUCACUCCACCUAGCAAAAGAAAAAGGGGGGAGAUGAGGCAGACUGUUAGUUUCCUCACUAACGGCUGUGAACCUGUCUGUCAAUCAGUGCAAAACAUGUAACCUAAAUACAUUUAAAACUAAUGAGAUAUAAGAUCAUUUACUGUCUAUCAUGUGUGGAUAGAGAAAACUGCACAACAAUUGUUUUGUGAGCCAGGCUGCCAACAAUACAGUUUUUCAUGUAAGGAUGGGCUUCCUACAAUGGAUGUAUAUGUGGCUCCCAGGGCUUCUGCAGUCAGCCACAAGACACCUAGAGAAAUGCAUUUUUAAGCAUUGUCAGCAUUGGUUUAACCGAGACCUGAGGUUGCAGUUUGAUUAACAUGCAAUGCUUUGGUGCCUCUGGAGCUUUGUCAUGAAUGCUCUCAGGGCACUGCAAAUGUCUUUCAUGGUCUCAAAACACUUUAAUCAGGAAAGGCCAUACAUGGUAUUGCUGAACAACUGCAGUGUGUGGGAUUUUAUCUUCUUAAGGCUGCAGUCCAACUAGUUAAUGCUCUGACUGUAAACACGUCUUCUAUAUGAAGGAUAUAAAAAUAAAUAAACCUUGUUGAAUUAAUAGGAUUUUAUAUCUCACGCGCAGGUCUGAACAAUCUGUGAUUCAAGGUGUUAUACAUUAGGGAAAAUAAGCUUCACACGUAAAUAAGCCCGGAGUAGUUUCAGAGUAGUAUUUGACUUAUGCCUCCAACAUCACAACACUGUUACCCUUAUGGGAGUCAAGAAAAACCCAUAUUAACUUACCUGCUUUCUUCAAAAAAGAAAAGACCUAACACUUGAAAACAGCUCUUUUCGAAUGUAGGGAUAUUUCCGGUCAUUAAAAACAGAUUGUUUUCAUUCUUAAAGGUCACUGAGUUGUUUUUGACUCAGUAUGUGGGACAGGGGUGAGAUCACAAUGUCAGCCGCUCCAGAUGGUAUCCAUUACACAGCACUCCAGGCUGAUGCUGUUUACUUAAACCACUUCCAGCUCUGACAACUGCUUUUUGUUAGUGAAGACAGGGGCAGAUGUGGAUGACCAGUCACGGAAAGGCAGAUCCCUGUGGUCUAAGAUUUUUUAAUCAAGCUAUUUUUAUCUAAUGUUUAUCUUUGAAACAUGUCAGCACAUGUGCUUUAUUGAAACAAUCCCAUAGAUCAUUUGAGUCAAAUUAAAGUUGCAACCAAAACUCAGACAACGUAAACCCCCAAAUUUC
RNAcentral lists this long non-coding RNA (9112 nucleotides) under Xyrichtys novacula (pearly razorfish). The record is from RNAcentral. Lineage: Eukaryota; Metazoa; Chordata; Actinopteri; Labriformes; Labridae.